Molecule: ribosomal RNA, 407 nt
Filed under: uncultured bacterium
Lineage: Bacteria
Description: bacterial SSU rRNA
Rfam family: Bacterial small subunit ribosomal RNA
Source: RNAcentral
UGGGGAAUAUUGCACAAUGGGCGAAAGCCUGAUGCAGCGACGCCGCGUGAGGGACGAAGGUCUUCGGAUUGUAAACCUCUUUCAGCAGGGACGAAGCGAAAGUGACUUUACCUGCAGAAGAAGCACCGGCUAACUACGUGCCAGCAGCCGCGGUAAUACGUAGGGUGCAAGCGUUGUCCGGAUUUAUUGGGCGUAAAGAGCUCGUAGGCGGUUCGUCACGUCGGAUGUGAAAACCUGGGGCUUAACCCCGGGCCUGCAUACGAUACGGGCGAACUAGAGUUCGGUAGGGGAGACUGGAAUUCCUGGUGUAGCGGUGAAAUGCGCAGAUAUCAGGAGGAACACCGGUGGCGAAGGCGGGUCUCUGGGCCGAUACUGACGCUGAGGAGCGAAAGCGUGGGGAGCAAACA